Acanthosepion pharaonis is the source of this 112-nucleotide non-coding RNA. NCBI's taxonomy places the organism in Eukaryota, Metazoa, Mollusca, Cephalopoda, Sepiida, Sepiidae. The record is from the annotation of a GenBank genome assembly.
UACGUCCAUAUAACUUUAAAACACCGGUUCUCGUACGGCCACAGAGGUUAAGCAACGUCGAGCCUGGUUAGUACGUAAACGGGUAAUCUCUUGGGAAUACCAGAUGCCGUUA